Molecule: ribosomal RNA, 511 nt
Filed under: uncultured bacterium
Lineage: Bacteria
Description: bacterial SSU rRNA
Rfam family: Bacterial small subunit ribosomal RNA
Source: RNAcentral
UCAGACGAACGCUGGCAGCGUGGAUAGGCAUGCAAGUCGAACGGGAUCCGGUAGGCAGCAAUGUCGGCCGGUGAGAGUGGCGGAAGGGCGAGGAACACGUGGGCAACCUGUCUUUGAGGUGGGGAAAACCGCUGGAAACGGCGGCUAAUACCGAAUGUAGCGCCCGCUCGCAUGAGCGGAGCGCCAAAGGGGGCGAAAGCUCCCCCUCUUCGAGGGGCCCGCGCACCAUCAGCUUGUUGGCGGGUAACGGCCCACCAAGGCUCACGGUUAGCUGGUCUGAGAGGAUGGCCAGCCGCACUGGGACUGAGAUACUGCCCAGACUCCUACGGGAGGCUGCAGUCGAGGAUCAUUUGCAAUGGGCGAAAGCCUGACAAUGCGGCGCUGCGUGGAAGGAUGAAGGCCCUCGGGUUGUAAACUCCUGUCAUGGGGGAAAAGGAAACCCUGCCCAAUACGCAGGGAAUUUGAUGGUACCCCAAGAGGAAGCGACGGCUAACUCUGUGCCAGCAGCUGC